CUUGGUAUGUUCUGUGUUAGUUUGUUGCUCAGUCAGAUAGCGCUUAUUUGAUAUCCUGUGUUUGUUUUUGUUUUUUUGUGAAAUUGUUUAAUAUUCUGUUUCAUUUGUUCCCAGGGUGGAAGGGGAAGGCACCUAGGGAGUGCUUAGGCAAGAGGCCUGUGGGCAUACAUAACCUGUAGUAGUUUACUGUCUAUGCACACUAGGACCUGAGCCCUAGGACCAUGCCUCAGGACUACCUGGCUUGAUGACUCCUUGCUGUCCCCAGUUCACCUGGCUGUGCUGCGGCUCCAGUUCCAACUGUUCUGCCUGCAGCUAUGGAACCCUGACCUGUUCACCGGACGUGCUACCUGUCCCAGACCUGUUGUCCCAGACCUGCUGGAACCCUGACCUAUUCACCGGACGUGCUACCUGUCCCAGACCUGCUGUUUUCAACUCUCUAGAGACAGCAGGAGCGGUAGAGAUACUCUCAAAGAUCGGCUAUGAAAAAGCCAACUGACACUUACCCUUGUGUUACUGACUUGUUGCACCCUCGACAACUACUAUGAUUAUUAUUUGACAAUGCUGGUCAUUUAUGAACAUUUGAAAAUCUAGGCCAUGUGCUGUUAUAAUAUCCACCUGGCACAGCCAGAAGAGGACUGGCCACCCCUCAUAGCCUGGUUCCUCUCUAGGUUUCUUCCUAGGUUUUGGCCUUUUUAGGGAGUUUUUCCUAGCCACCGUGCUUCUACACCUGCAUUGCUUGCUGUUUGGGGUUUUAGGCUGGGUUUCUGUACAGCACUUUGUGAUAUCAGCUGAUGUAAGAAGGGCUUUAUGAAUCAAUAUGAUUGAUUUUCCCCCAAUUGCUCAGUUUGGCCAGCCGGCCAGCUCAAGUCAUGCCCAAUACAUUUUAUUUACCACAGGUGGACUCCAAUUAAGUUGUAGAAACAUCGCAAGGAUGACCAAUGGAAACAGGUUGCACCUGAGCUAAAUUGAGUCUCAUAGCAAAGGGUCUGAAUACUUAUGUAAAUAAGGUAUUUCUGUUUUUUAUUUUUUAUACAGUACAUUUGCAAAAAUGUCUAAACCUGUUUUUGCUUUUUCGUUAAGGGGUAUUGUGUGUAGAUUCAUUAGGAAAAUAAUUGAUUUCAUCCAUUUUAGAAUAAUGCUGUAAAGUAACAAAAUGUGGAAAAAGUCAAGGGUUCUGAAUACUUUCCGAAUGCACUGUAUAUCCCAGAUUUCAGUGUUAGAGUAUGUAAGCGGUUAACUGAUUGUCUGUGCAGUAUGCGGCCGAGUUGAAGGCAAUGAUUAUAGGUUUGAGAUGGGUGGAGGAGGUGAAACCACUCACAGUGGUGAUCUGCUCAUAUUCAGCUGCAGUGUUGAGUAGUGUGAUUGGUAGGUCGGACAGGAGAGACUUGUUCGUGGAGAUGAUGGUGCUGUUAAUGGGAUUGGAGGAUGGGAAUGGUAGUAUGUUUUUGCUGGGUUCCUGCCCAUGUGGGUGUGGAGGAUAAGGCUGAUGUGGUGGCUAAGAGUGCUGUGAGGAGAGAGGGGGUAGAUAUUCAGGUCCCGCUGGGCCACAGGGAAGUCAAGUCCUUGAUCCGGGCAAAAGGGCUCAAUCUUUGGCAAAGGGAGUGGGAUGCUAGUAGUAAGGGAAGGCAAUUUUAUCGCUUGUACUGGUCAGUAAAGGAAGAGGUGGGGAGUAGAUUAUGGUUUGGGCACACAAGUUUGAAUGCCACGUUGUGGAUGAUAGGGAGACAUGAAACAUGUCUGUGUGAUGAGUGUUUAGUGUAGAAACGGUGGAGCAUGUGUUGCUAUUUUGUGAACUGUAUGACGUAGGGAGUGAUUGUGUGAAAG
Molecule: long non-coding RNA, 1824 nt
Filed under: Salmo salar (Atlantic salmon)
Lineage: Eukaryota; Metazoa; Chordata; Actinopteri; Salmoniformes; Salmonidae
Description: lncRNA (ENSSSAG00000105193.1, ENSSSAG00000105343.1)
Source: RNAcentral